GUGAAUAUAAUAAGUAACUCUUAGUGGCAAAAGAGUGCACAAGAGUGACACAAGGUACUUCUACAAUCAGAAUAAGUUGAGAAGUUCGGAAAAACAUGUGAAUUUUCGUGUCAAGUUUCGGGACGAAACUUCUUUUAAGAGGGGUAGAUUGUAAUCCCCCGUAAUUUUAUACAUUUUAGUUAUAUAUUUUUACGAAUAUUUAAUAUAUUUAAUGUAUAUUUAAACAUAGAUUACGGAUUUUAGAAACGAAUAUGUAAUUGAAAUGUAAUUACUUUAUUUCAUUUGGAAUACUUUUAAAUGGUUUAAGAAAUCAAAAUGUAUUUUCGAGUUUUACUUUAAAACGAGUUCGAAUUGCAAAACCACGUUCUAUUGAAAUUAGAAAACAAGUCCUAACCCAUGGUGGAUUCAUCAACCUAAAUCCUACUCCUAGCCCAAUUGGGCAAAGCCCAAACAAAAAAAAUAAAACCCUUCUCUUCUCUAUUCUUCACGUGAAAACCAAAAAAAAAAAAAAAGAGAGAAAGCCCUCACGCAACUCAGCUCUCCUUCCCUCCCGCUGCUCGCCGCCCAGCCGACCACCAUCGACGCAACCAGUGACUCAAGGCCGACCACCGCACGCGACCGUGCUCAGCCCUGCCGCGAGCCACCGCUGUCCGCCGGCCAGCCCCCCCUUAAACUCUUGAAUUGGCGGAGAAUUCUCUCUAGGCGACUUUUGAAAGUGUUAAGGUGGCCUAUCAGUUUGUUUACACAAGUCUCUAAGGAUCGAUAAGCGUUGCCCAUCUACAGGUUUGAAGAUGAUGCAUCAUUGGGAUCGGGAUUAGAGAGCUUGUAGUUCUAUUCGUUUAAUUAAGUGAUUUAAUUUGUUAACUUGGAUUUGAAAUUUGUCGUACUAUUCGUAUUUCCUUAAUUCAGUUAAUUGGUUUGGACCUAAUAUGUAAUAGAUUAUUUAUGAACCUAAAGGUUAGUUUUAUGUUUUCCGCUGCAAAAUUCUGA
Spinacia oleracea (spinach) is the source of this 990-nucleotide long non-coding RNA. RefSeq lists it as uncharacterized. The transcript has 4 exons. NCBI's taxonomy places the organism in Eukaryota, Viridiplantae, Streptophyta, Magnoliopsida, Caryophyllales, Amaranthaceae. The record is from RefSeq and is a predicted model, not a curated record.